UNCACGUGUAGCAGUGAAAUGCGUAGAGAUGUGGAGGAAUACCGAUGGCGAAGGCAGCCUCCUGGGAUAACACUGACGUUCAUGCCCGAAAGCGUGGGUAGCAAACAGGAUUAGAUACCCCGGUAGUCCACGCCCUAAACGAUGUCGAUUAGCUGUUGGGCAGCAUGACUGCUUAGUAGCGAAGCUAACGCGUGAAAUCGACCGCCUGGGGAGUACGGUCGCAAGAUUAAAACUCAAAGGAAUUGACGGGGACCCGCACAAGCGGUGGAUGAUGUGGAUUAAUUCGAUGCAACGCGAAGAACCUUACCUGGUCUUGACAUGUGCGGAACCCUCCAGAGACGGAGGGGUGCCUUCGGGAGCCGUAACACAGGUGCUGCAUGGCUGUCGUCAGCUCGUGUCGUGAGAUGUUGGGUUAAGUCCCGCAACGAGCGCAACCCUUGUCAUUAGUUGCCAUCAUUAAGUUGGGCACUCUAAUGAGACUGCCGGUGACAAGCCGGAGGAAGGUGGGGAUGACGUCAAGUCCUCAUGGCCCUUAUGACCAGGGCUUCACACGUCAUACAAUGGUCGGUACAGAGGGUAGCCAAGCCGCGAGGUGGAGCCAAUCUCACAAAACCGAUCGUAGUCCGGAUUGCACUCUGCAACUCGAGUGCAUGAAGUCGGAAUCGCUAGUAAUCGCAGGUCAGCAUACUGCGGUGAAUACGUUCCCGGGUCUUGUACACACCGCCCGUCACACCAUGGGAGUGGGGGAUACCAGAAGUAGGUAG
RNAcentral lists this ribosomal RNA (764 nucleotides) under uncultured bacterium. RNAcentral describes it as "bacterial SSU rRNA". It matches the Rfam family "Bacterial small subunit ribosomal RNA", at positions 668 to 1433 of the family's 1533-position model. The record is from RNAcentral.